UCGGGUAUGGUGUAGCGGUAACAUCGCUGACUCUCAUCCACCUAAGCUCCUCUCCUCAGAGGGACUUGUUGGGAGUGUACUCAGCAGCCCGGGGUUCGACUCCCCGUAUCCGAG
Non-coding RNA from Podospora australis, 114 nucleotides. The record is from the annotation of a GenBank genome assembly. NCBI's taxonomy places the organism in Eukaryota, Fungi, Ascomycota, Sordariomycetes, Sordariales, Podosporaceae.